UAGCCGAGUGUAACCGGUACCGAGUGUAGCCGACAUUGGCCGCAUUUAGGCAAAGAGCCGAAUAUGACCGACUUUAGCCCAACCGGGCCGAAGUUCUGCCGAAGAGCCGGAAAAGCCGAAUUUAGACGAAAAGCCGAACCGAAACGAUUUUAGACCUAAGCCGAACCAAGCCUAAUUUAGCCGAGUUUAUUUAAACAGAACCGAACGACGCCGCAGCGCUCUGCCUGCAGAGCGCCGGUGCAGACGGCAGGGGGCGGUGUAUAAAGGUGCUCAGAAAGCAUGCGUCCCUUAGAGUCCCACGGAAAGGUUCUCAGUGCGCUCUCUAUCAAGUGCUAUGAGUCUUGAUAAAUUGGAGAAGAGCCCAAGAGAAAUUUUUCAUCCCUUGAUAUAAAAGGGAUCGGUGAAUUUUAACUUUGGUGUCCUCUGUGCUAAGGAUGCUCAGCUUACCGAUGAUGAAAUGUUCAGUAAUG
Melospiza georgiana is the source of this 470-nucleotide long non-coding RNA. RefSeq lists it as uncharacterized. The record is from RefSeq and is a predicted model, not a curated record. Lineage: Eukaryota; Metazoa; Chordata; Aves; Passeriformes; Passerellidae. The transcript has 4 exons.